Podarcis lilfordi (Lilford's wall lizard) is the source of this 2191-nucleotide non-coding RNA. Lineage: Eukaryota; Metazoa; Chordata; Lepidosauria; Squamata; Lacertidae. The record is from the annotation of a GenBank genome assembly.
GGGGUAGAACACCAGCUUGGCAUUCCGAAGUUCCCAGAUUCAAUUCCUGGCAUCUCCAGAUAGGGCUUGGAGAUACCUCCAUCUGAAACUCAGGAGAACUGCUGAAAGUCAGGGUAGGCAGCACAGAGCUAUACUUGAUAUAAGGUGGCUUUCUGCCUUCCUAUUCCAGGUUAUUAUUAGUUGAGCUCAAGAAAGUACUUCAUUGGCGUUGCGGCUCUCUGAUUGCGUGCAGUUCAUCAACACUCAAUAACCAGACCCUUGGAGCAACGGCGAAAGGAACAGCUCAGCUGCCACAUAUGAAAAAGCAUCUCUGCCUUGGAAACUGCACUGGCGGAGACAGGUGUUGAAAACAAAUGUGCAGUGAUUUGCUCAUUGUCUCAACCGCAGGAUAAUCAGGGCUGGGAGUAAUAGUGCUAUAUAGAUGCUUUCCGAAAGAAUGAAGCGACAUCGUCUUAUUAACUCGAAGGAAACGGGUGGUUACUCUCAGCAUCGUAACUGAGCUCUUCAAAUAGAGGGCACCUUCAAGCAGAGGACUGCCCUCUCAUAGCCCUUCAAAUAGAGGACUGUUCUAUGUACAGUGAGACACAUGCCUACUCUAGCCAGGGUGGGGAUACAGCAUAACACUUCAUUGCAGGUCCUGGGCCAACCCAACACCUUUUUGCAGCCUGAGGCAAAGGACAAGAUGGCAACUUCCCUCCCAUUCCAUGCAUAAAAGAUGACUGAAUUUUGCAUUUUGCAGCCUAGCUUCUGCAUUGCAGGGCAGGCUGCACAGGAUCCUAUAACACCUUGCUGCCAUUCUUUGCUCCAUACCCUUAGCACACACUACCUGAGGCAGCUGCCUCCUUCUGCCUAAUGGAGAACUGGCCUUGAGAAAAUCUUGCUUGUCUUUCUCAUUUCUCAUUUUGGUUCUGGCUCCUCUGCUUCUCCCUUUCAGAGUUUCUGUUUCUACCACCGCUGACAGUUUAGCUCACUUUCCUGCUCCCUGAAGAGAAAGCUUAUUGAUUCCAGCAGCAGCAAUUUGACAUUUUUCCCCAGAAGGACCUCACAGCAUUCAAAGAGGGAUCAUCCAGAUCUGUUCGUGAUGCAACUUCUGCAGACAGGUCAUCAAUGCAAUUCGUUUUUUCACCCCCUCCUCCCUUUGAGAACCCAAUAUUUCAAUUUGUUUGCUCCUGCUCCUGCUCCCUUUUUUGUAAAGUACACAAUCGGAACGAACGAAAGCAAUAUAGCUCUAAGUACGCAAUCGAGAGGAAAGCAAUAUAGCUUUGUUUCUAAGCUGUCAUACUGUGUUUCCGGUUGCCUGGCAUACAAACUGGUUUCUUUUGUUGGAUUGCAACUUAGCUCUUUCUCCCUGGCACUGUGCAGCUUCAAAAUAUAAUCAUUCUGCUGACAUUCCUCUUUUGUUAUUUAAUAUACUAUCGCUAUCAAUACAAUGUGGCGUGUCUGACACAGUUAAGACCACUUUAAAACCGAAAAGAUAUCUGAAGGGGGAAAUGCAGUAUAAGCCUGAACAUCAAUACCUCUUUCCCAAAACAAGUUCCAAGCAGAAACACACACACACACACUGCAAAUUGAGAUUGGGUCGGCCUUCCUUUUUUAUAUAUAUAAAUUUUUAUUAACAAUUUCAACAUAACAAAUUAUCAAAACAAAUCAUCUUCAUUAUUCCCCCCCCAUUUUCCCCUCCCACAACAACAAACCCUCCCUUCCUCCCCCCUAUGACUUCCCUCACCUCCUCUUUCUGAUUUCUCAACCAAUGUUAACUUCUGUAUAUUAUAAAAUUGUAUUCAUCCUUAUAUUAUCUAUCUACUAUGUUAACCCUCAAUAAAUUUGUGUAUGUUUAUUCAAAACCUGCCAAGGACUCCAGUUCAUUUUGUUGUCUUUUUAAAUAGUUUGUAAAAGGUUCCCAUUCUUCUUUAAAGUCACAGUUGUCCUUGUCUCAUAAUUUGCAUGUCAAUUUUGCCAGUUCUGCAUAGUUCAUCAACUUCUCUUGCCACUGUUCUUUUGUUGGGGUUUCCUCAUUCUUCCAUCCUUGUGCUAUCAAGACUCUUGCCACUGUUGUAGCAUACAUAAAGAAGUUCUUUCUUUUCCUUGGCAGGUCUUGUCCUACUAUCCCUAACAAAAAUGCUUCUGGUUUUUUGUAUAAAUGUUAUUUUAAACAUCUUCUUCAACUCAUUAUAUAUCAUUUCCCUUUUUU